UACGGAGGGUGCAAGCGUUAUCCGGAUUUACUGGGUUUAAAGGGUGCGUAGGUGGGUAGGUAAGUCAGUGGUGAAAUCUUCGAGCUUAACUCGGAAACUGCCAUUGAUACUAUCUGUCUUGAAUACUUUGGAGGUAAGCGGAAUAUGUCAUGUAGCGGUGAAAUGCUUAGAUAUGACAUAGAACACCAAUUGCGAAGGCAGCUUACUACACAGUUAUUGACACUGAGGCACGAAAGCGUGGGGAGCAAACAGG
RNAcentral lists this ribosomal RNA (253 nucleotides) under uncultured bacterium. RNAcentral's name for it is "partial 16S ribosomal RNA". It matches the Rfam family "Bacterial small subunit ribosomal RNA", at positions 524 to 776 of the family's 1533-position model. The record is from RNAcentral.